CGUGCGUUUUCUCAGCAAACUUAUUUAGCUUUGGCACUCCGAGUUCUUUUGCCUCCUCCCUCUUUUCUCGCCAGUGAAUCACAGAACGGGUGUCUCCAGCCAAAAGCCUGGAGAGGAAGAGUUAUGCAUUUCUCCUUCAAGAACCGCGAAGCCAGUCUGCAUUCCUGCAUUAAAGAAGCCAGUGUUUCCCAUCCAGUAAUUCAGGGAGCUUCAUCAUUUUUUUCCUUCUUUCUUUUUUACCAUGUGGAGUAAAACCAUUGUAAAAACUUG
This is a long non-coding RNA of Pan troglodytes (chimpanzee), 270 nucleotides long. RefSeq lists it as uncharacterized. The transcript has 2 exons. The record is from RefSeq and is a predicted model, not a curated record. NCBI's taxonomy places the organism in Eukaryota, Metazoa, Chordata, Mammalia, Primates, Hominidae.